UACGUAGGGUGCGAGCGUUAUCCGGAAUCAUUGGGCGUAAAGAGCUCGUAGGCGGUUCAGCAAGUCGGCUGUGAAAGUCCGAGGCUCAACUUCGGAAUUGCAGUCGAUACUGCUGUGAUUCGAGUCCGGUAGAGGAGAAUGGAAUUCUCGUUGUAGCGGUGAAAUGCGCAGAUAUCGAGAGGAACACCAGUAGCGAAUGCGGUUCUCUGGGCCGGCACUGACGCUGAGGAGCGAAAGCGUCGGUAGCAAACAUG
RNAcentral lists this unclassified non-coding RNA (254 nucleotides) under uncultured Acidimicrobiia bacterium. RNAcentral's name for it is "contains 16S-23S intergenic spacer region". It matches the Rfam family "Bacterial small subunit ribosomal RNA", at positions 524 to 776 of the family's 1533-position model. Lineage: Bacteria; Bacillati; Actinomycetota; Acidimicrobiia. The record is from RNAcentral.